This 414-nucleotide ribosomal RNA is filed under the name uncultured prokaryote. Its description in RNAcentral is "bacterial SSU rRNA". It matches the Rfam family "Bacterial small subunit ribosomal RNA", at positions 505 to 918 of the family's 1533-position model. The record is from RNAcentral.
GUGCCAGCAGCCGCGGUAAUACGUAGGUCCCGAACGUUGCGCGAAUUUACUGGGCGUAAAGGGUCCGUAGGCGGUCUGGUAAGUGGAAGGUGAAAUCCUGGGGCUCAACUCCAGAAUUGCCUUCCAAACUGCCGGACUUGAGGCAGGGAGAGGUCGGCGGAAUUCCCGGUGUAGCGGUUAAAUGCGUAGAUAUCGGGAGGAACACCAGUGGCGAAGGCGGCCGACUGGAACUGACCUGACGCUGAGGGACGAAAGCCAGGGGAGCGAACCGGAUUAGAUACCCGGGUAGUCCUGGCCGUAAACGAUGGAUGCUAGAUGUGGGCGGGGAGACCCGUCCGUGUCGCAAGCUAACGCGUUAAGUGCCCCGCCUGGGGAGUACGGUCGCAAGGCUGAAACUCAAAUGAAUUGACGGGG